RNAcentral lists this ribosomal RNA (428 nucleotides) under uncultured bacterium. RNAcentral's name for it is "bacterial SSU rRNA". It matches the Rfam family "Bacterial small subunit ribosomal RNA", at positions 355 to 774 of the family's 1533-position model. The record is from RNAcentral.
UGGGGAAUAUUGGACAAUGGGGGGAACCCUGAUCCAGCCAUGCCGCGUGUGUGAAGAAGGCCUUAUGGUUGUAAAGCACUUUAAGCGAGGAGGAGGCUCCUGUAGUUAAUACCUACAGAGAGUGGACGUUACUCGCAGAAUAAGCACCGGCUAACUCUGUGCCAGCAGCCGCGGUAAUACAGAGGGUGCGAGCGUUAAUCGGAUUUACUGGGCGUAAAGCGUGCGUAGGCGGUUAUAUAAGACAGAUGUGAAAUCCCCGGGCUCAACCUGGGACCUGCAUUUGUGUCUGUAUAGCUAGAGUACGGUAGAGGGUAGUGGAAUUUCCUGUGCGGCGGUGAAAUGCGUAGAUAUAGGAAGGAACACCAGUGGCGAAGGCGACUACCUGGACUGAUACUGACACUGAGGUGCGAAAGCGUGGGGAGCAAACA